UUGGAGGGCAAGUCUGGUGCCAGCAGCCGCGGUAAUUCCAGCUCCAAUAGCGUAUAUUAAAGUUGUUGCAGUUAAAAAGCUCGUAGUUGAAUUUCGGGGUCAGUAGAUUGGUCGUGCCACUGGUACGUACUGGUCUUACGGAUUCCUCCCUCCUGAUGAACUGUAAUGCCAUUAAUUUGGUGUUGCAGGGAAUCUGGACUGUUACUUUGAAAAAAUUAGAGUGUUUAAAGCAGGCUAACGCUUGAAUACAUUAGCAUGGAAUAAUGAAAUAGGACGCUCGAUCCUAUUUUGUUGGUUUCUAGGAUUGACGUAAUGAUUAAUAGGGAUAGUUGGGGGCAUUAGUAUUCAAUUGUCAGAGGUGAAAUUCUUGGAUUUAUUGAAGACUAACUACUGCGAAAGCAUUUGCCAAGGAUGUUUUCAUUAAUCAAGAACGAAAGUUAGGGGAUCGAAGACGAUCAGAUACCGUCGUAGUCUUAACCAUAAACUAUGCCGACUAGGGAUCGGAUGAUGUUAAUUUUUUAAUGACUCAUUCGGCGCCUUACGGGAAAC
This 549-nucleotide ribosomal RNA is filed under the name uncultured Glomus. Its description in RNAcentral is "SSU rRNA". It matches the Rfam family "Eukaryotic small subunit ribosomal RNA", at positions 548 to 1098 of the family's 1831-position model. Lineage: Eukaryota; Fungi; Glomeromycota; Glomeromycetes; Glomerales; Glomeraceae. The record is from RNAcentral.